UCCUUUUUCCAAAGUAUCCCUUAAACCUUAUUCCAACCCACUGACAUGAUUUCCUUACUUUUCUUCUCUUCAUCCUGCUAGCUUCCAUAAAGGCAUCGCCAGAGCUGUAUUCGACUACCUAAAUCUCUCCGAUUGUAGCGGGUGAACUUUCCUGAGAAAAUCUCACAGCAAGUAAUUCAACUACUUCCAAGUAUGAACUUCCCGCUUCAAGAAGAUGUUAACAUCAGCUGUCUUUUUUAUCAUUUGCAGGAAUAUCACCAUGGUGUGCUGCUGUCUGCCAAUCGUACCAAAAGCGUAGCAUGGGAUUUAACUCAGCUGUAAAUUCUGCCCCAC
Long non-coding RNA from Macrosteles quadrilineatus (aster leafhopper), 333 nucleotides. RefSeq lists it as uncharacterized. The transcript is spliced from 3 exons. NCBI's taxonomy places the organism in Eukaryota, Metazoa, Arthropoda, Insecta, Hemiptera, Cicadellidae. The record is from RefSeq and is a predicted model, not a curated record.